RNAcentral lists this ribosomal RNA (877 nucleotides) under Brevibacterium linens. Its description in RNAcentral is "bacterial SSU rRNA". It matches the Rfam family "Bacterial small subunit ribosomal RNA", at positions 1 to 888 of the family's 1533-position model. The record is from RNAcentral. Lineage: Bacteria; Bacillati; Actinomycetota; Actinomycetes; Micrococcales; Brevibacteriaceae.
UUUUAGAGUUUUGAUCAUGGCUCAGGACGAACGCUGGCUGCGUGCUUAACACAUGCAAGUCGAACGCUGAAGCCGACAGCUUGCUGUUGGUGGAUGAGUGGCGAACGGGUGAGUAACACGUGAGUAACCUGCCCCUGAUUUCGGGAUAAGCCUGGGAAACCGGGUCUAAUACCGGAUACGACCACCGAACGCAUGUUCGGUGGUGGAAAGUUUUUCGAUCGGGGAUGGGCUCGCGGCCUAUCAGCUUGUUGGUGGGGUAAUGGCCUACCAAGGCGACGACGGGUAGCCGGCCUGAGAGGGCGACCGGCCACACUGGGACUGAGACACGGCCCAGACUCCUACGGGAGGCAGCAGUGGGGAAUAUUGCACAAUGGGGGAAACCCUGAUGCAGCGACGCAGCGUGCGGGAUGACGGCCUUCGGGUUGUAAACCGCUUUCAGCAGGGAAGAAGCGAAAGUGACGGUACCUGCAGAAGAAGUACCGGCUAACUACGUGCCAGCAGCCGCGGUAAUACGUAGGGUACGAGCGUUGUCCGGAAUUAUUGGGCGUAAAGAGCUCGUAGGUGGUUGGUCACGUCUGCUGUGGAAACGCAACGCUUAACGUUGCGCGUGCAGUGGGUACGGGCUGACUAGAGUGCAGUAGGGGAGUCUGGAAUUCCUGGUGUAGCGGUGAAAUGCGCAGAUAUCAGGAGGAACACCGGUGGCGAAGGCGGGACUCUGGGCUGUAACUGACACUGAGGAGCGAAAGCAUGGGGAGCGAACAGGAUUAGAUACCCUGGUAGUCCAUGCCGUAAACGUUGGGCACUAGGUGUGGGGGACAUUCCACGUUCUCCGCGCCGUAGCUAACGCAUUAAGUGCCCCGCUGGGGGAGUACGGAAA